Molecule: ribosomal RNA, 403 nt
Filed under: bacterium
Lineage: Bacteria
Description: partial 16S ribosomal RNA
Rfam family: Bacterial small subunit ribosomal RNA
Source: RNAcentral
UGGGGAAUAUUGCACAAUGGGGGAAACCCUGAUGCAGCGACGCCGCGUGAACGAAGAAGGUAUUCGUAUCGUAAAGUUCUGUCCUAUGGGAAGAUAAUGACAGUACCAUAGAAGAAAGCUCCGGCUAAAUACGUGCCAGCAGCCGCGGUAAUACGUAUGGAGCGAGCGUUGUCCGGAAUUAUUGUGCGUAAAGGGUACGCAGGCGGUUUAAUAAGUCGAAUGUUAAAGAUCGGGGCUCAACCCCGCAAAGCAUUGGAAACUGAUAAACAUGAUUAGUGGAGAGGAAAGUGGAAUUCCUAGUGUAGUGGUGAAAUACGUAGAUAUUAGGAGGAAUACCAGUAGCGAAGGCGACUUUCUGGACACAAACUGACGCUGAGGUACGAAAGCGUGGGGAGCAAACAGG